GCCGCCUUAGCUCAGUUGGUUAGAGCGCUGGUUUGUGGAACCAGAGGUCCUCCGUUCAAGCCGGAGAGGCGGUA
Molecule: transfer RNA, 74 nt
Organism: Hyphomonas neptunium ATCC 15444
Lineage: Bacteria; Pseudomonadati; Pseudomonadota; Alphaproteobacteria; Hyphomonadales; Hyphomonadaceae
Rfam family: tRNA
About the family: Transfer RNA (tRNA) molecules are approximately 80 nucleotides in length.
Source: Rfam